GCAAGGAGUUUGUCUAUUGUGCUCCCUGAUAUGUCUCUGGCAUCAAGAUCUAUGCCUGCCACAAAGUAGGGGCUUAAGUAUUAAUUGUGGAAUGAAUGAAUAAACAUGUGCAUAGACAACCAUUAUCGAACACAGAAUGUGUAAUUGCUAUACAAGACAUUUAAAAAAUGCUGUGGGUAUGGAGAGAGAUUACUUCUAACUAGAGAGACCAAGAAAUGCUCAUCCCUGGGAAGCCUCUGAUCCGUAUCUCAUGGAAUGGAAUGCUGACAGCGCAGUGGCUAAAAGCUCAGGCUCUCUGUCAGAUGUACCUAUAUCCAAAUCCUCACCCUGCCACUGACAAAUGUGGGGACUUUGGUGUCUCCUUAAUUUGGCCUUGAAUAGUUUUCUUAUCUUAUAGGGUUGUUGUAUCACUCAAGGUUUGAUCAAGAAGCAGAACUGCUUUGUAUGAUAAAACCUAAGGGACUCAUUGGGGUUAGACCUCCCUGCAAUUGUGGAAGCCAGUGGGGAAAUCUCUGCAGGCUGUUGGCUCUGCACCUAUGUUGAGCCUGAAACAUGUGGUCUUUGGAUCUGCCAGACUGGCAAAUGGAGAUGAAAGCUGGAAAUAAUUGAGAGCAAGAGCAAAUAGGAGUCUACAUUGAUGAAUUGAAGCCCCAUAAAUUCAACUGGAUCCCACAAGACAAAUGGGAGCCUGCAUCUUUCUCUAGCCACCUCCAGCCUCCAUGCUGUGGGCCACUUGCUGGAGAUGCUGGUACCUUUCAGCACAGAGCUGCACGUACACCCACUCCAGGCCUUGGAGAGGUGUAAGGAGCAGAUCUUUGGGGAAUUGGAGGAGCGGUCAGUUGAAAUGCUGAGCCACACCUACCAGGUGAGCUGGUCGAUUAGCCUCAUCAUGCACAAUCCACCACAGUGCCUGGGACCUGCAUUAACACUCAGGAUGCAGGAAAGAUGGCUGCUGGGUCAUGUCUACAUCUCAUGUCAAAUAUCUCUUGUGGCAAGUACUAACCCAGAACCAUACAAGGAAAGGAAUCUGGAGAAACAUAGUUCCGGCUUAGCUAAGUGGACACACCACAUUUGUAAGAAUUUCUACUUAUAAUAUUUACAUUACAAGUAAUCACUCCAUAUAGAAUAUUAAUAGUCAUUGGACAACAAAAAAAUCCUCUUGGAUUACAUUUUUCAUGAUUUGACAGCAAACAGUUUUAAAGACAUUUUAGCCACAUCUCUUUAAAAUUUGCAAUUCACUGAAUCCCUCAAACAUUAUUUGUGUUUGAGUAUCUUAUUUCAUAUUAUAGCACCUACAGACACCACUGAAAGACGAAUGAAGGAAUUGUGAAAUAUUUUAAACUAAGUAGGCUUAUUGCAUUGUCGUGGGCUAAGGAAGCAUGUCACUCUACCCUCCAUUCCUGGAGAAAAACUCCAGUUGCUUUAGGGAGGUAGACUGAGUGACUUUUUGGAGAACCUUGGCUGCCUGACCUUCCACCCAAGGUCCUGCAAUACUAUGCUAUGACUUAUUUCCUUUAAAACUCUACUUUUGUUUAUGAAAGUUCAUUUCUCAUCAACUAUCUUUACCCUUUUUUCCCUACUAUGACCUCAGACCCUCUUCUCCCUCUGAGAUUAUUUCCUCUAUCUCUCUCACUCAUCAAGCUAAUGGACCAAAAAGAAGAAGAAGAAAAAAAAACUUUCUUCGAAAGCCACUUCUUCUUUGGAGCCCUUGAGUGAUGAGUUUUUAAUGAUCUAUCACUUUCUUCUUGGUAAAACGAGCUGGGGUCAGAGUCAUCUGCCCAUAAGAAGAAAAGUGGGACUUCAAAAGACCAUCUUACCUUUAGAAACACAUAGUCCUCCUGUCUGAUUCGCAUUCCCGUUUCCAAUUAUUUCUUUUUCUUUUUCCUUCAUGUCACAUAACAAAGUAUGAUUAUACUUAUAAUGUUGCACCUCACAUGCUUGACUGUGUUUUCUGUUCUUUUCACAUAUUAUUUUAAAAUACCUUUAGACAUGCAUCUUGCUAGCAUAGAAGUAGGCACAUAGAUGGAUGAACAAAUGGAUUGAUAAAUGGAUGGAUGGAUAGAUAGACAAAUAUAUUGAAUAUCAGACAGGAAAGAGGCUAUUUGAAAUUAUUUACUUAUUAUUCCUUUUGGACACCAAUGAUUCUAUUUUUUUCAAAUUUAGAAAGCUCUGUCUACUAAAAACUUUUAUCUAUUCAUUAUAAUUUUUUGGAGCUUUAUCAGUAGAUACAUUGAAAUUAUAAUCUUCAGAAGGUUCUAUAAGUUGAAAAUUCUGAAUUAUUUAUCACUGAUAGUUCAAACCCCUUUCUAUAUAUAGGAAACUGAGGUUUUAUGAGUAUAAGUGAUAUGCUUAAUCACAGCAACAAUACUUGAACCUAAACUUUCUAAAUCCUAUUACUUUCUACUCUGCCACAUGGAGAAAUAUAUGGCCUAAGCAACUUGCAUGCAAAAUAGUCUCAUUUGAUCAAACACCAUUUAAGUGUUAAUGCUGGAAUACAAAUGAUGUGAUUAGUGGGUUGGUAGAUUUAUUUCUUCAUAUGUACCAAAUCAUAUUACACCUAAAAGAUUAUGACCUUAUAGUUAAAUCACAGCUUGAGGCUGGACAUUUAAGACUGGAGGCUUUUAAUGAAUUAUUGUUAAUAUUUUUAGAUGUGAUAAUGGUAUUGUGGUUAUAUUUUUUAAAGUUCUCUUUUAGAAAUACAUAUUGAAAUGUUUGUAGUUGAAGCGAUCUGAUAUCUUGGAUUUACUUCAAAAUAACAUUGUGUUGGGCUGGAAAUAGAUGAAAUAGAACUAGCUUUAUGUGAUAUUUACUGAAAUUGGGUGAUGCAUACAUGAGGGCUUAUUAUACUCUUCCCACUACUUCUAUUAAUGUUCUAGUUUUUCCAUAACGAAAAGUUAACUUUAACAAACACUGCCACUAGAGCAUUAAGGUGAUGAGUUUAGGCUCUGGUGUCAGAUGGGCCAGAUUUGAAUUUCGGAUCUGCCAAUUACCGGUACUCCAUCUAUAGAAUGGGUGUAAAGUACCUACCUUCCAGAGUUGUAAAAAUUAAAUGAAAUAAUACACGUAAGUCCCUUAGAAUAGCCCCUAGCACAUUCGUAAUCACUCAAAUUUUACCUAAUAUGUAAUGACUGUUAUUGUCAUUGAUGCCUUAUCUCCAUGGUUUUCUGUUUCCUAGAAUCCUUAUCUACUGCAAUGUUUAAAAAAAAUAAGUAUUAAAUUAAAGACGUGAAUACCAUUAUCCUAGGUUUUGAGAUAGAAAAAAUGCUCACUAAAGUUUUCAAAUGCCAUGCAGCAAGGAAGUCAAAAGGUUAAACUGUAGAACGUAGAACGGAAAAGGCAAGAAAUGCUCUUGACUAUAAAGAUGAACCGUUACCCAAAUCAAAGCAAUCCCUUUUCCUCCGUUCAGCUGAGAAGUGGGUGCCAUGGCUGGGUUUGAACUGGGGCUGGACAGUGGCUGGGUUUGAACUGGGGCUGGACAAUGUGCUGUCUGUCACAGCCAGUAGAUUUUGUUUAUUGCGAAAGGAAUUGCUCAGUGUUGACUCCCCUUGGCUCCACUUCUUGUUUUGUGCUCCUCCUCCUUCAGGUCUCCUUCCACCUCUGAGCUUCUCUUUCUUCCUUUGGGGAGGAGUGACAUGAUUAGAGUAAUGGGUAGACCAGAAGGAUUCACCGACAAGGGCUGUGCUGGACAAUGGGAAAGCUGUAGGGAAGUAUGCCUCUUACCAGAAUUAAGGGUCUAGCACUUUAUUCAUAAUAUAGACCAUUUGCAAAUAAAAAGGUCAAGAUUCACUGCUUUGCAGAAGACAUUUCUGGGGGUCAUCAGAAAUUUACCAGUGCCCAUAUUAAACACUAUUAUGUGUAUAGAUGUGAAAACAAGUCCUGGUGUUGUUAAUUCACAUACAAAUUGGCAAAUACAAAUGGAUCAAUAAUUCUGUGAAUAGAGGCGCAAGUCUUUAUUAUAUUAUAUGACUCUGUACACCACCUGCAGCACCACUGGCCAUCACCCCAUCCCACAUUGCUACUAGUUUAACCUGUAUUCCUACCACGUCCAUCCCCAACCCUCUGUGCUCCGGGGAAAAAUGCCUCUAUCUCAAGGUCUUUGUGCUGGCUUUCCUCUACCUCAAAAGCUGCGCUCACGGGUAACUCUAUGCCUUGCUUCCUUACUUCCUUUUGGUGUUUGAUCAAAUAUUACCCUCUUGGCAUGGCCUCCCCUGCCAACUGAUUGAUACCGUCAAGCACCGCCUGACUCUUCAUUCUUCAUCCCUUUUCUCUGUUUUACUACUCUACCUAACCUUCAUCAUUUUUAAAUACUCUAUGUAAUUCCUUUAGUUAGUUAAUUAUCAAUCUCCCUCUUCUCCAUGAGGACCUGUAUUUAGUCUUUAAAAGAUUCCAAUGCCUAGAACAUUGCCUGGCAUAUAGUCAGUAUUAAAUAAACACUUAAUUGAAUGAAUGAUAAGUGAAUGGAUGGAUGGAUGGAUGGAUGGAUGGAUGGAUGGAUGGAUGGACGGACGGAUGAAUGGAUGGACAGACGGAUGGAUGGACAGAUGGAUGGUUGGAUGGAUGGAUGAAUGGACAAGGUAAAUAAGUACUAAAAGAAAUACAAAACUUGUAAUUGCAAGGUGUAGUUCAAUCCUUUUUAAGUGGCAAAGGCCAGUUCCCUCUCCUGAUGACCUGGGGUCUGUCUGCUGAGUCUAGCUGUCUCUCUGAGGAUUGGAUUUACCCGAGACAGAGGCAGCAGCAACACACGUACUCUUUCUGGGAGAAAGCAACCAUGUGACCUUCUCCCACAGGCCACAGGAUAAGGUCGUCUUCUCAACGCAGUGAGCCCCACUUUUAUGUGAAAGACUCGCAGGUGAGGCGAGGGCUGGGAUUUGUUAUAGAGUCCCAGAUCUCAUCCAUAGAGAGUUUGAAGGUUGGGACUUGAAUUUAGUGCCUUGGUCAGUUAUUAAAUAUCUUAGAAAAAGGCUUAUCUAAAAUAACAAAACAUCCAUUUAAAAUACUUUAUAACACACAUUCAAAAGAAGACAAUUUUGUCAUUCUAAGUACACAUAAGCUCUUGAAGCCAUUAGCAAAGUAUUACCUAUAUCAGGAACUCCUAGCUUUAUUUCCUUAAAUACAUUAAGUUCAUUUUUUUGUGAAGCAUUUAUUUGCAUAAAUUGCUUAAAUUGACUUUCAGGAAGAAAAAAAACUAUACUUUCUUAAGAAUCUUGAAAAAAUUCUUAAUUAUGUAGCCACUAAAUGAUGUAUAGACUUAUUUAGAAAACGUUUUCUUCUUGAGGAGCAGGGAGUGGGUUGCGGCCCAAUCCAUUUUGGCCUCACUCUGGAACUCCCUUCAGUGCUGGGUCCCCCAGGUCAAUGUAAUUGUCGUCUAUUAGGUAUUUCAGGCCAGGUGCGGUGGCUCAGGCCUGUAACCCCAGCAUUGUUUUGAGAUGGGCAAAUCACCUGAGGUCAGGAGUUUGAGACUAGCCUGGCCGACAUGGUGAAACCCCAACUCUACUAAAAAUAUAAAAAUUCACUUUGGGAGGCUGAGACAGGGGUUCAUGAAGUUAAGAGAUUGAGACCAUCCUGCCCAACAUGGUGAAAUGCCAUCUUUACUGAAAAUACAAAAAUUAGCUGGGCAUGGUGGCACGCACCUGUAGUCCAACUACUCGGGAGGCUGAGGCAGAAGAAUCACUUGAACCCGGGAGGUGGAGGUUGCAGUGAGCUGAGAUUGCACCACUGCACUCCAGCCUGGGAGACAGAGUGAGACUCUGUCUCAAAAAAAAAAAUUAUAUAUAUAUAAAUAUAUAAAUUAUUUAUAUAUUUAUAUUAAAAAUAUAUAUAUAAAUUAGUACCUGCUUGGUGACACAUGCCUGUAAUCCCAGCUACUCAGAAGGCUGAGGCACAAGAAUCACUUGAACCUAGGAGCCAGAGGUACAAUGAGCUGAGAUUGCGCCACUGCACUCUAGCCUGGGUGACAGAGCGAGACUCUGUCUAAAAAAAAUAAAAAAUAAAAAAAAGAUAAUUCAGUGGUUUCUACAGAGUAAAGUUCUGCAUAUAAAGUAUAUGACAGAAGCAGAGUGUUCUCCUUGAACUUCUUG
This 6077-nucleotide long non-coding RNA is filed under the name Homo sapiens (human). RNAcentral's name for it is "non-protein coding lnc-MBNL2-2:1". Lineage: Eukaryota; Metazoa; Chordata; Mammalia; Primates; Hominidae. The record is from RNAcentral.